UCCUGGGUGGCUCAGUUGGUUGAGCAUCUGACUUCAGCUCAGGACAUGACCCCACGGUUCGUGGGUUCAAGCCCCGCAUCAGGCU
RNAcentral lists this transfer RNA (85 nucleotides) under Felis catus (domestic cat). It matches the Rfam family "tRNA". Rfam says of the family: Transfer RNA (tRNA) molecules are approximately 80 nucleotides in length. Their secondary structure includes four short double-helical elements and three loops (D, anti-codon, and T loops). Further hydrogen bonds mediate the characteristic L-shaped molecular structure. tRNAs have two regions of fundamental functional importance: the anti-codon, which is responsible for specific mRNA codon recognition, and the 3' end, to which the tRNAs corresponding amino acid is attached (by aminoacyl-tRNA synthetases). tRNAs cope with the degeneracy of the genetic code in two manners: having more than one tRNA (with a specific anti-codon) for a particular amino acid; and 'wobble' base-pairing, i.e. permitting non-standard base-pairing at the 3rd anti-codon position. RNAcentral also lists the same sequence under 3 other names. The record is from Rfam by way of RNAcentral. Lineage: Eukaryota; Metazoa; Chordata; Mammalia; Carnivora; Felidae.